AAAUUGAAGAGUUUGAUCAUGGCUCAGAUUGAACGCUGGCGGCAGGCCUAACACAUGCAAGUCGAACGGUAACAGGAAGCAGCUUGCUGCUUCGCUGACGAGUGGCGGACGGGUGAGUAAUGUCUGGGAAACUGCCUGAUGGAGGGGGAUAACUACUGGAAACGGUGGCUAAUACCGCAUAACGUCGCAAGACCAAAGAGGGGGACCUUCGGACCUCUUGCCAUCAGAUGUGCCCAGAUGGGAUUAGCUAGUUGGUGAGGUAA
This 263-nucleotide ribosomal RNA is filed under the name Salmonella enterica subsp. enterica. RNAcentral's name for it is "partial 16S ribosomal RNA". It matches the Rfam family "Bacterial small subunit ribosomal RNA", at positions 1 to 260 of the family's 1533-position model. Lineage: Bacteria; Pseudomonadati; Pseudomonadota; Gammaproteobacteria; Enterobacterales; Enterobacteriaceae. The record is from RNAcentral.